Molecule: long non-coding RNA, 1307 nt
Filed under: Hordeum vulgare
Lineage: Eukaryota; Viridiplantae; Streptophyta; Magnoliopsida; Poales; Poaceae
Description: long non-coding RNA (HVUL_LNC020331)
Source: RNAcentral
UUUUAUCUCUCUUCCCUCUAUACUAGUAACUGCUAUAGUUUCUUUUCUAAGACCUCAUAGAUUAUAUAUACUCAAUAUUGUGCAUGAGUGUGCAUGUAGUCUAGUCCAAUACAAUGCUAUAUAUUUGAUUUAGGUAGCUGAUUGUCGAUAUAUCACCUUGAUGAGAUGGAUAUUAAUUCUUGGGUUGCUUUGUCCAUACGUCUAUGUAUUUGUUAGUUCGAAAGUCCGACGUGAGAAGUAGUAGGAUGCAAAAACAUGUGCACUGCUUCUCGUUACACAAAUGCGGGACUGAUACAUGAUUAGUCGCUACCCUGAGUAUAUACACAUACUAUUGAAGGAGAGAAACAGGAGUACACUCACCAACAUUACUAGCGUCUUGUUUCUGCCAUUGUAGUAGAGCAUUUAUUCUCGAUUAAUGAUUUUUGUGAGAGCCGAAAGCCUGAGACUGUAACUUUGCUAUACCCAAUCAUUUUAGGGCUAUUUCCAAAUGAACGCUUUCAAUAAGAAAUUUAACAUCUAUUAGGUAAGAUCCCAAGAUACGGCGAACUAUGAUUUUACAAUAUAUGCUCGGACUUGUUUCUUAAAGGUGAAAACAUAGAUCUGACCGUUAGUGGUUGGAUACUGUGAUGAUGCCGCUUGAGCAUCAUUCCUGGCAUUCGUGUUGAAGAUUAUUUUUUGUUAUCCUUUGGGUAUCAAGAGAUGGUUGAUGCAGACAUCCAUUGAUGUAGUUUUUUUAUCACCAUCUUGAUUGUAGAUCUUUUUUUCUACUCACUUAGACAUAGUAUUGAUUUUGUAUGACUUUGCCUUUUAUUGACGUGUUUAUUACUGUAACAUUAAUGUUGCCCAUCUGCAUCAUAACUAUGCAGACAUCGAGUGUUCAUUGUGUUUGUAUCUCCUUAUUCGGAGUCAUUAAAAUUCAACUUUAGGGCAUCUCCAAGGAGACCGUCAAAGCUCUUGUAUAUGCCCGAGUUGUUGUGUCCGAUGAUGACCCAUUGGUCUGUAAAGUGGUCUGGAUAUCCGUUUUCCGACAUAACCUAAGCAAACAUGGGGUAGCUAUGCUGGAGUCCGGAUAUCCAGUUGACCAGCAAAAAGCACCACGUAGUCCUCUUUUUUUUUUCUGCACAUGCAUGGUCCCCUCUCCUUCCUCCUCCCAACCGGACAAAUAGUGAUUAAUUUGUGAAUAACUUUGAAUGGCUUCCUUGGGUAUCAUGUCCGCAAAUCAUGUUGAACACAAAAAAUGAACAAAUUCCAAAGAUAUUUGCGGGCCACGUGACAACAAGCGUCAGGGUUUUCGGAAAAGUCGUCCG